This 408-nucleotide ribosomal RNA is filed under the name uncultured bacterium. RNAcentral describes it as "partial 16S ribosomal RNA". It matches the Rfam family "Bacterial small subunit ribosomal RNA", at positions 28 to 526 of the family's 1533-position model. The record is from RNAcentral.
GACGAACGCUGGCGGCGUGCUUAACACAUGCAAGUCGAAUGAAGUGGCGAACGGGUGAGUAACGCGUAAUCAACCUGCCCUUCAGAGGGGGACAACAGUUGGAAACGAUUGCUAAUACCCCAUAGUGAAGGAGGGGAUUGCGUCUGAUUAGCUAGUUGGAGGGGUAACGGCCCACAAAGGCGAUGAGCAGUAGCCGGUCUGGGAGGGUGAACGGCCCCGUUGGGACUGGGAAACGGCCCAGACGCCUACGGGAGGCAGCAGUGGGGAAUCUUCCGCAAUGGACGAAAGUCUGACGGAGCAACGCCGCGUGAGUGAUGACGGCCUUCGGGUUGUAAAGCUCUGUUAAUCGGGACGCGGUACCGGAAUAGAAAGCCACGGCUAACUACGUGCCAGCAGCCGCGGUAAUAC